Molecule: long non-coding RNA, 1190 nt
Organism: Bos taurus (domestic cattle)
Lineage: Eukaryota; Metazoa; Chordata; Mammalia; Artiodactyla; Bovidae
Source: Ensembl
GGCUAGGGGCGGGGCUUCAAGCGCGUCCCGGGGGCGUGGUCACGGCGGCGGCGCGCAAGGAGGAGGAGCCUGACCUGGGCCGGCGGGGCUUCGGUCGCGGGUCUGACUAUGUCUGCUCGGCUGGAGCUGGAUCCGCGGUCAGCCGAGGCCGGUAGGCCGCACCCUGCGCCUCCGCCGUGACCCGACCCUCUGCGCGGGUGACUUAGGGCUCGUCUCGCGAGGCUGUCCUCAUGGGUGUGAAGUGGCCCUGAUUUGCAUCUCCCUAAUGACUGAGACACUGAUUUAUGAUCUAGCUGCAAGGGCUCCCGAAGCUUCUUUGCCCCAUCUGGACCUGGAAACGGGCUGAUUUUUUAAAACCAAGAUUCUUGGCAUAUUUGGACACAAUGAAUACUGUGCCUUUCAUAUUUUCUUUGUAUUUCUCCAUAGUUGCUUGACCCAACAUCUGUCUGCUCUAUACAAUGAAAAUACAAACUAAAUGAGAAUAGAAAAAAAUAAUUAAAGCAUUAAAUUGUACAAAUUACAAAUCUGUUCCAAAAUAUACUUACAUUAAAUAAAAUACGCAUUUCAGUUAAGAGAUCUACAGUGAAUGACUCUGCAUUCUGGGAAGCUUCACGACACCUAGGCAGGGCCGACAUUCGUGGGAGGAGCUAAGAGACUUCGCACCAAUCACAGUCUGUUUGUAGCGGGUUUCUGACGGCCAAUCUGCGGGCUACACUGAGCGUCAGCAUCACCUGCGCGGGACUGACGGGGGAGGGGAGAAGCAGCUCUAGCCUCGACGCUGAGUUCAUUCUCAUCAACAGCCUAUACAGUACAGUUUCAAAAAAGUAAACAUGUUAAGGGAAGCAGACAACUCUUUAGAACCCCAGACACAUUUUCUGGCUGUAUUUAUGUGGAACUCUCCGGCUACAAUGGGCGGUCGUAAAGAGGUUCUUCCUCAGGACAACACGGUCACAGGACCCGGACGAGCCGGCGGGACUGAGGGGAGCCGAGGAUCGGGGAGAGGCUCCUCUGGUUGCGGGUGGAGCCCAUCUUUUCACGCACAGUCCGCGGCCCUGCAGUCCUCUCCCCGUAUCAUCUGGCGUAGCGCUUAAUGUAGUCCUCCACUUUAUUCCGGAACUUACCUUGUCUCGCAAAUGAUGUUCCGCAGCUUCAAUAUUCAGUGGAUCAUCAAAAUUCAACAGAUCCUUAAA